Molecule: long non-coding RNA, 1094 nt
Filed under: Equus asinus (donkey)
Lineage: Eukaryota; Metazoa; Chordata; Mammalia; Perissodactyla; Equidae
Description: lncRNA (ENSEASG00005030545.1)
Source: RNAcentral
AGGCAACUGACUUCAUUUGUGCCACACGCAUGGGCAUUGCAGCCUUGUGCUCCCCCAGCGAUAGGGGAGCCAGAAAUGGGCAGCUCUCCCAGGGAGUGAGCAGCUACUGUAACUUUUUUAAAUUAAGACAAAAAGCCUUGAAGAAAAUGACUUUAUUUUUCUAAGUGUAACCUCAGUAUUUAUGUAAUUUGUACAGGGGCUGUGCCCUACCCCCUCUGCCCGCCUUGGGGUAGACCUUGAGGGUGGGCCAGUGUAAGGGGAGGGUCUUUUACCCUGUGUCAGAGCCUACCUUCACCACCUAUAUCCAGAAAGGGAGCUUUUUCAGAACAGGGCAGUAGUUGGGGUGGUUUUAUUAACCCCUCAUGACUGCCUUCAGUAGGAACAAGCCUGCUGCUGUGAUUAGGUGAGGGGGUGGGGGAAGUUUUUACGCACAGCCUAGUUAUUGAGGGGAUGAUUUGCCGACAUGUUUGAGAACCCCCUAACCUCUAACUCCCAUUGCUAUCUUGCUCCAAUUUGGGGUGCCAAAAUGGAAGUCACCUUUCUGGGCUUUCUCCUGGAGAUAGCUGGGGCUUAUGGGUGGCUUGCAAGGCUGGGGCAUGGCAAAUCAGGGGCCAGAGAGUGGGGGAGCUUGGGACUCAGGUCUGUAACUGCCCAGCCCCUUUGCUCUGCUCUCCUUUCACUCCACCAUCACUCACUCACUCACUCCCCACCCCCCCACCCAGGGGAGGAGACCCUGAUGAAUUCCUCCUCUCCUUCCCACAAAAGACAGAACCAGUGAGUGAAUCAGGCAAAGUGCUUAUAAUGGGUGUUGUGUGAGCGUGGCCUUGGGGAGAACAUGCGUGCGUCAGGGAUGAGGUGGCGAUUAUAUGUGCAGUGACCCUUGGUGUUUCCCUUCCUUGAUGGCUCUGGGGUGUGUGUGUGUGCCUGAGUGAAUGUGUGUGUGUGAAUGUGGAGUGUGUAUGUCAGUGGUUUCUACUUCCCCUGGGAUGCUGACCCAGGAAUAGUGGACAUGGUCACAGUCCUAUGUACAGAGCUUUCUUUUGUAUUAAAAAAAAAAUACUCUUUCAAUAAAUGUAUCAUUUUUGUGCACAGAC